Molecule: ribosomal RNA, 491 nt
Filed under: uncultured bacterium
Lineage: Bacteria
Description: partial 16S ribosomal RNA
Rfam family: Bacterial small subunit ribosomal RNA
Source: RNAcentral
GUGAACGCUGGCGGUAGGCCUAACACCUGCAAGUCGAACGGCAGCACAGUAAGAGCUUGCUCUUACGGGUGGCGAGUGGCGGACGGGUGAGGAAUACAUCGGAAUCUACUUUUUCGUGGGGGAUAACGUAGGGAAACUUACGCUAAUACCGCAUACGACCUACGGGUGAAAGCAGGGGAUCUUCGGACCUUGCGCGAUUGAAUGAGCCGAUGUCGGAUUAGCUAGUUGGCGGGGUAAAGGCCCACCAAGGCGACGAUCCGUAGCUGGUCUGAGAGGAUGAUCAGCCACACUGGAACUGAGACACGGUCCAGACUCCUACGGGAGGCAGCAGUGGGGAAUAUUGGGCAAUGGGCGCAAGCCUGAUCCAGCCAUACCGCGUGGGUGAAGAAGGCCUUCGGGUUGUAAAGCCCUUUUGUUGGGAAAGAAAAGCAGCAGGUUGAUACCCCGCUGUUCUGACGGUACCCAAAGAAUAAGCACCGGCUAACUUCGUG